GACCGAGCGAGACGAAGAAGUAAGUCCCCUGUUUUCUUUCCGAAACUAGCGAAGGACUUCAGAUUAAGCGAGGAGCGAGAUUGGUCUGGUGCUGGUGGGGAAUUGUUGGAGGAUGUAUUUACUUUAUCGUAUUUCCAUUUUGACGAUAAAGUCUUGAUGAUUGAUAUACUUUGAUUUUCUUUAGAAUUUAAGCAAUGUACUCACAGUUAUAUGUCUUCAUACAUAUAAUCGAUUCGCCUUUUGCUGCGAUACUCUGCAUAUUAUGAUUCCUUACGAAAAAUGAGCGAUACCCGUUUUGUUUU
Molecule: long non-coding RNA, 302 nt
Organism: Salvia miltiorrhiza (redroot sage)
Lineage: Eukaryota; Viridiplantae; Streptophyta; Magnoliopsida; Lamiales; Lamiaceae
Exons: 2
Source: RefSeq, a predicted model, not a curated record